Mesocricetus auratus (golden hamster) is the source of this 433-nucleotide long non-coding RNA. RefSeq lists it as uncharacterized. NCBI's taxonomy places the organism in Eukaryota, Metazoa, Chordata, Mammalia, Rodentia, Cricetidae. The transcript has 3 exons. The record is from RefSeq and is a predicted model, not a curated record.
CCCUACGUCCCCCUUCCCCACCGGCGCCUAGAGAAGAGGCGGAACUCCAAGGGCUGCUUCCUCACCCCUUUCCUUGCAAAGACGUUUCAUCCGCAAUUGGCUCAAUCCUUCGAUCUCCGACCCGCUGCAAACGAGCGAAAGUCUGUGGCUUGGAUCAGACCACCACUGUCCCAGAGGGAGGGGGAAGAAACGAGAAGUCACCUCUUGUUUCGGAUGCCUAUGCCAAGGGUCCCUGGUGCUGACUUUGGAGAACAUCAUUAGACUAUUGCUCACGGAACUCCUCACAAUCUAGGCCCUUUCUUGAAGGUAAGGAUGCUGAGACAAAGAAAUCAAACAGCUCCAAGUCACAAGGUGGCAUGUGGAGUGGGUGAGGUUCCAGGAGUUCAGUUCAGUGUUUAGCUGUGGAUAUCUGUCUCUGCUUCCAUCAGUCCCU